UACGAAGGGUGCAAGCGUUGUUCGGAAUCAUUGGGCGUAAAGCGCGCGCAGGCGGAUCGAUAAGUCAGAUGUGAAAUCUCGAGGCUCAACCUCGAAACUGCGUCUGAAACUAUUGGUCUAGAAUGUCGGAGGGGGUAGGGGAAUUUCACGUGUAGGGGUAAAAUCCGUAGAGAUGUGAAGGAACACCGGUGGCGAAGGCGCCUACCUGGACGACUAUUGACGCUGAGGCGCGAAAGCGUGGGGAGCAAAC
Molecule: ribosomal RNA, 250 nt
Filed under: uncultured bacterium
Lineage: Bacteria
Description: partial 16S ribosomal RNA
Rfam family: Bacterial small subunit ribosomal RNA
Source: RNAcentral